This 622-nucleotide ribosomal RNA is filed under the name Salmonella enterica subsp. enterica serovar Newport. RNAcentral's name for it is "partial 23S ribosomal RNA". It matches the Rfam family "Bacterial large subunit ribosomal RNA", at positions 2211 to 2828 of the family's 2925-position model. Lineage: Bacteria; Pseudomonadati; Pseudomonadota; Gammaproteobacteria; Enterobacterales; Enterobacteriaceae. The record is from RNAcentral.
UGUUUGAUGUUCUAACGUGGACCCGUAAUCCGGGUUGCGGACAGUGUCUGGUGGGUAGUUUGACUGGGGCGGUCUCCUCCUAAAGAGUAACGGAGGAGCACGAAGGUUGGCUAAUCCUGGUCGGACAUCAGGAGGUUAGUGCAAUGGCAUAAGCCAGCUUGACUGCGAGCGUGACGGCGCGAGCAGGUGCGAAAGCAGGUCAUAGUGAUCCGGUGGUUCUGAAUGGAAGGGCCAUCGCUCAACGGAUAAAAGGUACUCCGGGGAUAACAGGCUGAUACCGCCCAAGAGUUCAUAUCGACGGCGGUGUUUGGCACCUCGAUGUCGGCUCAUCACAUCCUGGGGCUGAAGUAGGUCCCAAGGGUAUGGCUGUUCGCCAUUUAAAGUGGUACGCGAGCUGGGUUUAGAACGUCGUGAGACAGUUCGGUCCCUAUCUGCCGUGGGCGCUGGAGAACUGAGGGGGGCUGCUCCUAGUACGAGAGGACCGGAGUGGACGCAUCACUGGUGUUCGGGUUGUCAUGCCAAUGGCACUGCCCGGUAGCUAAAUGCGGAAGAGAUAAGUGCUGAAAGCAUCUAAGCACGAAACUUGCCCCGAGAUGAGUUCUCCCUGAGACUUUAAGUCUCC